RNAcentral lists this ribosomal RNA (460 nucleotides) under uncultured bacterium. Its description in RNAcentral is "partial 16S ribosomal RNA". It matches the Rfam family "Bacterial small subunit ribosomal RNA", at positions 338 to 795 of the family's 1533-position model. The record is from RNAcentral.
CCUACGGGAGACAGCAGUGAGGAAUAUUGGUCAAUGGACGAGAGUCUGAACCAGCCAAGUAGCGUGAAGGAUGACUGCCCUAUGUGUUGUAAACUUCUUUUAUAAAGGAAUAAAACGAGGCACGUGUGCCCUUUUGCAUGUACUUUAUGAAUAAGCAUCGGCUAACUCCGUGCCAGCAGCCGCGGUAAUACGGAGGAUCCGAGCGUUAUCCGGAUUUAUUGGGUUUAAAGGGAGCGUAGAUGGGUUGGUAAGUCAGUUGUGAAAGUCUGCGGCUCAACCGUAAAAUUGCAGUUGAUACUGGCAGUCUUGAGUACAGUUGAGGUAGGCGGAAUUCGUGGUGUAGCGGUGAAAUGCUUAGAUAUCACGAAGAACCCCGAUUGCGAAGGCAGCUUACUAAACUGUGACUGACAUUGAUGCUCGAAAGUGUGGGUAUCAAACAGGAUUAGAUACCCCUGUAGUC